AGCAUCCCCAGACAAGACACACACAGGUCAUGAGUGUCCCCAGCCGUGAUGUAGCGCGGGAAGGGGAAAACCCCACUGCCUGAACUGCUCACAAGCUAUCUCCUCUGCCAGACUUCCUUCAAGAGGGAGCGAGCCAUCUGCGUCUGGGCCUUCUGGCUGAGAUGGAAGCAGUCAGCACUGAAGAAGGAGCGAUCCGCGCGGCCAUCCUGUUGAAACGGACGUCCAGGAUGUUGCUCUGGCUGGAUGCAAGACCGUUCCCUGCCUGACAGAUAGAACAGGACCAUGUUUCAGUAACAUGAUGAAAUAAAACAGAAGUUCUCAAAAUUUAUUGUGUAUGUCCUUCCCUGAAUAAACAGCAGUAUAUCAGGGUCUUCCACUGCUGAAGAAUAGAUAUUAAAAAUAUGAUUUCAUUAUACUGUUAUACUACUGUCCUCUGUUCAUCUUUCCAUUCCUCUAAUGUCAUUAUCUUAUGGAGAUCUUUGGACUGUUCAUAGAGAAGGCAAAGAGUUACUGUUAUGUAAUUAAGUUUGAUUUUUUUAUUGAUUAAUGGGGUCCGUCACUGUAUGCCUAUAGUGCAUAUUUAGUUUAUGUAAGACUGAAAAAGAUUAUGGUCCUACAUUUAGGAUCUAUUCUUUCUGUUCAGCUUUAUUAUGUUGAAUUCUAUAUUAUAUUUAAGGUAUCAUGGCUUGUAUACUGAACAAAAUUACAAACGCAACACUUUUUGCCCCUAUUCAU
This is a long non-coding RNA of Micropterus salmoides (largemouth bass), 735 nucleotides long. RefSeq lists it as uncharacterized. The record is from RefSeq and is a predicted model, not a curated record. The transcript has 3 exons. Lineage: Eukaryota; Metazoa; Chordata; Actinopteri; Centrarchiformes; Centrarchidae.